This is a long non-coding RNA of Syngnathus typhle (broad-nosed pipefish), 523 nucleotides long. RefSeq lists it as uncharacterized. The transcript is spliced from 2 exons. Lineage: Eukaryota; Metazoa; Chordata; Actinopteri; Syngnathiformes; Syngnathidae. The record is from RefSeq and is a predicted model, not a curated record.
AGCGGAUUGCUUACCAGACAGGACGAGCAGAAGCGCAACAAUCGUCGUGGUCAGGCUCGUCGUCAUGGUCGUCGUGGAGCUCGGAGGGAAAUGUUGAGCUUGAUCCUCGCUUACUCGUCCGCGGCCACACCCAGCCAGUGGCCUUGCCGAGUACUGCGACUGAUGGGUUCGUCUUGUCAAGUGAUCACAAACGCAAACGAGACCAAUUGCGAGAUGAGACGUCUUUUACUUCCAACAACAACGUCGCCAUCAUAAAUAUGGAGCGUUGUUAUUAAGCUUGUACUGUAAAUAAAACCAAUGCUACAUGUUAAUGGCACUGGGAGCCCUGCAGCUCCUCCACCAAUGAGCAGAGGUCGGAGGUCACAUGCAGCCCGCUUCAGUUUCCUGCUUUUUUUAUGCAUUUUUUUUAGGAUUUCAGUGUAAAAGCUUGAAUACAAAGUGACAUUCUGGUUCUUGUUGCUUGUCACUUUUUUUUUUUUUUUUUAAGAAACGUUUGUUUUCUUGAGGUAAACUGUUAAAGUCA